ACAUGAAAGCCGACUAGAGAAAUUCAAGCUAUGUAAGCAGUUGCUGACAACACACACACAAAAUACGACAUUGAGACGGCUGAUGGACCUACAUACACACAUUGAAACCUCGCCUCCAAUCCUAUCGGACCACGACAACACGUUCCUGACGCCGAACUAGCGUUGAAUUGCGCUUGGGAUAUUGGAAUGCUGGAAAUCCUGGAAAGUACAGCAGCUCCAAACACCACGUCGCUGCAGUCAAAGGGAUUGUCAGGACAACAUCAAGAACCCCGCGGAUUACAGUUUUGCGCAGAAGUUGUGCGGAGUAGACUUCAUGACGGCCGCUACUACCAUAUCGACUCUCUGCCGCAAACUACCAAUACCGCCAUGUUCCAGCUAUGACGCAGAUCAACCACCAUUUGUGAACCACUACGCUCAAUGCGCUAAAAACACCGUUAGCCGAUCGGGAAAAAUCGUGCCACCAUCGAGGGCAUUUAGCAGGAUCAUCGCUCGCUAUCUCCUCGAAUUAUCACAGCUAUGACGACAGGCUAGGCCUGUGAACGACUGCGUUAUCGCCGAAAACACCGUUGCCGAUCGGGACAAAUCGAGCCAUCGUCAAGCGCAGCGAGCAACAACACCUUUCACUACCUCCUCGCUUGACGACUAUACAGCUACGUCCAUCACCAAGGGUGAUCAACAAAGAGAUCUUCUUAGACUCAGCAAACACGCACAGCGUCAAUCACCACACUACACCGAACGUGACAGUAUGCCCGACUAGAGCAUUGGUUAACGCCUUCGCAAGCGGAUAGAGCUCAUCCGCAGCGACAGUGCGGAAUUCACGCUGCAAAUCUGCUCCCCGAGCGACAGCAGUAAUUUCCUCGACAUGGACAACACAUACUGAAGCAGUACGGAGUGUGCAGGUAUCGUCUGGACAGGCUCCUCAGUAAAUGGAGGUCAAAAACAGGACCAUGCAGACCGAGAAUACCCGGAAAUGACUCCUCAGCGCCAAGGCGCUUCCCGUUCACGAACCGAGAAAAAUCGUACUCUGUGGGCUGGACGCAGUUCACAGAGAGUUUCGAAUAGAGACAGCGUUGGUUUGUCAAAGCUAGGCGAAUCAAUGCAUCACCGAUAUAGACACCUUUCUACCCGCAAGGCCUCCCGCGGGCUAGCCGUUAGUCAGGGCGAGAGAAACUGACCGUGUUCAUGCUAAACGCAAACACGCCGUUACUGGAACGUGACAAACCAGCAAGAAGCUCUCUUGAGCGCGAUCCGUUAGUCAGGGCGAGAGAAACUGACCGUGUACAUGCCUCGCGCUGUCACGCCGUUACUGGAACGUGACAAACCAGCAAAUCCAGCUAUGCACGCAGAAACACGACUGCCAACAACGGAUGACCACUCCACGAAAAUCCGGACAGACAGACCGUUUGCCGAUCGGAACAAAUCGAGCCGCGGAGAGCAACAUCUGGACAACAGCACCAUUAAACCAUCUAUGAGCCACACCAGCUACGAAUAGAGUAUACUCCACCAAAAUACAGUCUUGGAACAAAACGACAAACCGUACUAAUCUGGAAUGGUGUCACUACAUACGAGGUGAAUCCAGAGUUUGAACCACAUGCUGAACUUGUCCUAAUUUCAGGGGAAGUGGCAUAAACGGGGUCGUCAAGAAAACCCUCCAUUCAAAAGCAACGCGAUCUGGAGGCGCGGUAAAACCUUCAUUCGGGCUCUUGGCGAUCAGGGAACUAAAUUCUCCCUUUCCAUGGAUUUGCUGCUUUUCCCUCCUUUUUUAUCACCAUAGUUUUAACCUCUUUUUUAAUUUUUUAAUUUGUUCAAUGUUUUGUGUUUUUGAGCAAAUGUUUUAAGUUAAGCUACUGUGUUGUGUUCGUAACCGUAGCGGAGGCGAGAAUUUAGAAGCUGGUAUAGGAACGGUCAGAGACGAUUUGCCAAGACUCGUUGGCGUUCGGUCAAGUCUUCCAGAAGUCGCUGGAGUAGUAUUUUGAUUUGGGCCUUUAAGUUUCGAUCUGGCAAGCAUUGCUGUGGCUUGCGUAGUUUCGUGGUUGCCUUAGGGUGGCCAGACCGAUGUCUCUGAUCGUUGCCUAGGUAUAGAGGUUUUUGAAUUUUUCAUGAAUCGUUUGUCUCCGAUUCAUGAAAAAUUCUUCCGUUGCGGUAGUGUAUGUAGCAUUAUAAUUAAGUUUGUCUAGCUAUUUUGUUCUGAGCGUGUAGUGAUUGAGUGUAAACCUACCAAAAAAUGUUUGUUUAGAACUUAGAGUGUAAAUGUCAAAUGCACACGUGGGAAGAAAAAACGAAAACAAGAAUCAACAAAACAACAUCAACGAAAGGAAACACAUCUAGCACCAGCAUUUGCCUUUGCAAAUUGUGACCCGGAUCGUUCUUCUCCUGUAGAAAUUCGCCAUCGCUGUUGAGAAGGAACAGCAGGAAUAUUGGAAGAGCAUCAGCUGCAGUUUUUCGGAAGGCGGUGAGCAUUUCGACGGCAAUCAAACACAAGGCGGAAAGCACUGCACUGCAGCACUGAAGCAUUGCACUGCGACUGGAAAACGAAGAUUACCGAAACGGAAAUAGAACCAAGUGAGAUACGAAGUGGCACUUCAUACGACAAGCCGUCAUAGGGCUCGAGCAAGAGGCGUAUCGCCUCCUCGACGACCACACAACCGACGGUGGAAGUUUUCUUUAGCAACAAACAGGCGGCCCCAACUGGGGUCGUUUUUGGGAGCUGAGAAAAUCGCUUUUCGGGACUCGAUUUUCGCCAUCUUGGUUUUGCGAGUCCCGUUUUUGCGAAAUCAAGCUGCGGACGCGAGG
Uranotaenia lowii is the source of this 2793-nucleotide long non-coding RNA. RefSeq lists it as uncharacterized. The record is from RefSeq and is a predicted model, not a curated record. The transcript is spliced from 5 exons. Lineage: Eukaryota; Metazoa; Arthropoda; Insecta; Diptera; Culicidae.